GAAGUGCGAACCGAGCGGCUGCCUUGGCAGCGCGAGACUCGGAGUGGUCGUCAGCAAUGGCGACCUACA
This 69-nucleotide non-coding RNA is filed under the name unclassified sequences. RNAcentral's name for it is "Transposase-2 RNA". It matches the Rfam family "Transposase-2 RNA". The record is from Rfam by way of RNAcentral.